UCUGGUUUAAUUAACUCUAAUAGCUCUGGGAUCCUACUCAUCUUUACCCGAAAGCUUACCUGAGUGCAAUAUAAACAAGUAGUGAAAUGUCCACAGAAGGAAUAUAGUAAAAUCUGAGCAGAAGCAAAGACGGCGGGGGAUGAAUAGUUGAAGCUUGAGAUUUUCAGGGCAGCGAAACUAUUCUAUGUGUUGUAAUAGUGAUUGCAUGACAUCACGCGUUGGUCAAAAACCCACAGGCCAUCUGAUCCAGUAAUUCCAAUUCUGGGCAUAAAAAAAUUGAAAGCAGCGACUCAAGCAGGUAUGUUUAUACCAAUCUUCAUUAGCAGCAUUAUAGCCAUGAAGCAGAAACAACCCAAGUGUCUACUGACAGAUGAAUGGAUAAACAGAAUGUGGUUGAUGCGUACAAUGGAAUGUUAUUCAGCCUUAAAAAGGAACGAAAUUCUGAUACACCCUACAACACGGGUGAACCUCGAAGACACUGCUGUCCUAAGUGAAAUAAGCCAGACAUACUUAUAUGAACGAGGUACAUAAAAGAGUCAAAUACACAGAGACAGCUGAACAGUGGUUACCAGGGGUGAUGCAGAGUUACUGUUCCAUGGGUACAGAGUUUUGGCACAGGAUCGUGAAAAAGCGCUAGAGCCAGAGACGCAUGGUGGUGAUGACUGCAUAACAAUGUGAAUGUAGUAAACACCGCUGAACCGAACGUGGAAAAACAGUCGAAAUGGGUGGCCUAAACAUCAAGCGAGAACUAUAAACUUGACUGCCUACCAGGGAAAGACACUGAAAGUGAACCAGCAGAGGACAAACACGAACGGUCAGAGCAGUGACUCAAUGAGAAGCACAAUUCUUACCUAAAUGCAUUUUAAAAACAACAAAUCUCAACACUGUGCGAGCCAAAGAAAACUUACAUCUCAGGCUAAUGUGGCCUACAGACUUCCAGACCUCUGUGUGCUUUGCCAAAUGUCUCCUCGAAGGGAAAAUCGUGUGGCAGAGAAUAAAAGCUUAAAAAGAAAAAAAAAAAGCACAAAUCUCCAAGAUUCCUUUCUCAUAAAGGGGCCUACUCGUACAAAUUACAUGAGGUAAAUGGAACAAAGCCUCUGCAUGCCUACCUUGCGCAUCUGACUUAGCAGAUGAAUCAGGACAAGGCACACGGGGUACAGGCCUUGGAGGUCAGAAAACAGGCCAGCAUUUCAUCAAGCCUUGCCUCCUCAGCCAGGUGUUUUGUGCAGCACAUAAUAUACAAC
This is a long non-coding RNA of Neofelis nebulosa (Clouded leopard), 1244 nucleotides long. RefSeq lists it as uncharacterized. NCBI's taxonomy places the organism in Eukaryota, Metazoa, Chordata, Mammalia, Carnivora, Felidae. The record is from RefSeq and is a predicted model, not a curated record. The transcript has 4 exons.